This 405-nucleotide ribosomal RNA is filed under the name uncultured bacterium. RNAcentral's name for it is "partial 16S ribosomal RNA". It matches the Rfam family "Bacterial small subunit ribosomal RNA", at positions 28 to 526 of the family's 1533-position model. The record is from RNAcentral.
GAUGAACGCUGGCGGCGGGCCUAAUACAUGCAAGUCGAGCGGAGCGGGGACGGGUGAGUAACACGUGGAUAACCUCCUAUAUGACUGGGAUAACUUCGGGGAACCGGAGCCAAACCGGAUACUUAUUCGUCGAUCCUCGCUGUAUUAGCUAGUUGGUAAGGUAACGGCUUACCAAGGCAACGAUGCAUAGCAGACCUGAGAGGGUGAUCCGCCACACUGGAACUGAGACACGGUCCAGACUCCUACGGGAGGCAGCAGUAGGGAAUCGUCCGCAAUGGGCGAAAGCCUGACGGAGCAACGCCGCGUGAGUGAUGAAGGUCUUCGGAUCGUAAAACUCUGUUAUUAGGGAAGCGGUACCUAACCAGAAAGCCACGGCUAACUACGUGCCAGCAGCCGCGGUAAUAC